This 28-nucleotide non-coding RNA is filed under the name Rattus norvegicus (Norway rat). The record is from RNAcentral. Lineage: Eukaryota; Metazoa; Chordata; Mammalia; Rodentia; Muridae.
UCUAUUUCCUGGUCCUGAUUAUCUCCUU